CCAAAGGCUCUUUUAAGAGCCACCUACAGUCUCAGCUCUUAAGAA
Erinaceus europaeus (western European hedgehog) is the source of this 45-nucleotide non-coding RNA. Lineage: Eukaryota; Metazoa; Chordata; Mammalia; Eulipotyphla; Erinaceidae. The record is from Rfam.